CUGCCCUACGGGGCGCAGCAGUGGGGGAUAUUGCACAAUGGGGGAAACCCUGAUGCAGCGACGCCGCGUGAGUGAAGAAGCGUUUCGGCGCGUAAAGCUCUGUCAGCGGGGAAGAAACACGGUUCGCGAGAGCCGCGGACGGUACCCGACCAAGAAGCCCCGGCUAACUACGUGCCAGUAGCCGCGGUAAUACGUAGGGGGCAAGCGUUAUCCGGAAUUACUGGGUGUAAAGGGAGAGUAGGCGGCAAGGUAAGCGAUAUGUGAAAGCCUUAGGCUUAACCAAAGGAUUGCAUAACGAACUAUCU
Molecule: ribosomal RNA, 305 nt
Filed under: uncultured bacterium
Lineage: Bacteria
Description: bacterial SSU rRNA
Rfam family: Bacterial small subunit ribosomal RNA
Source: RNAcentral